UUCCUACGGGGGGCUGCAGUUUCGAAUCAUUCACAAUGGGCGAAAGCCUGAUGGUGCGACGCCGCGUGAGGGAUGAAGGUCUUCGGAUUGUAAACCUCUGUCACUGGGGAGAAAACGCUUUGAGUUAAUAGUUCAAAGCCUGAUUUAACCCGGAGAGGAAGCAGUGGCUAACUCUGUGCCAGCAGCCGCGGUAAUACAGAGACUGCAAGCGUUAUUCGGAUUCACUGGGCGUAAAGGGUGCGCAGGCGGCCGUGUGUGUAAGGGGUGAAAUCCCGGGGCUCAACCCCGGAACUGCGCCUUAAACUACAUGGCUAGAGUAUUGGAGAGGGUAGUGGAAUUCACGGUGUAGCAGUGAAAUGCGUAGAUAUCGUGAGGAACACCAGAGGCGAAGGCGACUACCUGGACAAUUACUGACGCUCAGGCACGAAAGCGUGGGGAGCAAAAGGGAUUAGAUACCCCAGUAGUC
This 466-nucleotide ribosomal RNA is filed under the name uncultured Opitutaceae bacterium. RNAcentral describes it as "bacterial SSU rRNA". It matches the Rfam family "Bacterial small subunit ribosomal RNA", at positions 336 to 795 of the family's 1533-position model. The record is from RNAcentral. Lineage: Bacteria; Pseudomonadati; Verrucomicrobiota; Opitutia; Opitutales; Opitutaceae.